Molecule: ribosomal RNA, 289 nt
Filed under: uncultured bacterium
Lineage: Bacteria
Description: partial 16S ribosomal RNA
Rfam family: Bacterial small subunit ribosomal RNA
Source: RNAcentral
AGUCAACGCUGGCGGCGUGCCUAACACAUGCAAGUCGAACGCGAAAGGGGCUUCGGCCCUGAGUAGAGUGGCAAACGGGUGAGUAACACGUGGGUGACCUACCUUCAAGUGGGGGAUAACGUUCCGAAAGGAACGCUAAUACCGCAUAUUGUCCCGUCUUUAGACAGACGACGAUGAAAGCCGGGGAUCGCAAGACCUGGCGCUAGGAGAGGGGCCCGCGUCCGAUUAGCUAGUUGGUGAGGAACGGCUCACCAAGGCGACGAUCGGUAGCCGGCCUGAGAGGGCGGAC